GAUGAACGCUGGCGGCGUGCCUUAUACAUGCAAGUCGAGCGAUCAGACGAGUUGCUUUCUCCUCUGACGUUAUCGGCGUACGUAUUAGUUCCACGUGGAUACCCUACCUAUAAGACUGGCAUCACUUCGUGUAAUCGUACCUCAUACCGUAUAAUAUUUUAAACCGCAUGGUUCAAUGGUGAAUGUCGGUUUUCCUGUUUCUUAUAGCUGGUUUCGUGUCGAAUUAGCUAGUUGGUAAGGUAAUGGCUUACCAAGGCGACGAUGCGUAGCCGACCUGACAGGGCGAUCGGCCACACUGGAACUGAGACACGGUCCAGACUCCUACGGGAGGCAGCAGUAGGGAAUCUUCCGCAAUGGGCGAAAGCCUGAAGGAGCAAUGCCGCGUGAGGGAUGAAGGUCUUCGGAUCGUAAAACGCUGUUAGUAGGGAAGAAAAAAUGUGUAAGUAAAUAUGCACGUAAUGACGGUACCUAAAGAGAAAGCAACGGCUAACUACGUG
Molecule: ribosomal RNA, 497 nt
Filed under: uncultured bacterium
Lineage: Bacteria
Description: partial 16S ribosomal RNA
Rfam family: Bacterial small subunit ribosomal RNA
Source: RNAcentral